GAGAGAGAGAGAGAGAGAGAGAUAGUGAAAGAGAGACGGAGGGAGAUGGAGAACAAAAGUAGACAGGGAUAAAGAGAGACAAAGAUGUAUACAGAAAAAGAGAGACGGAUAGAUACAUACAGAGAAAGAUGGCUAGAGAGACUGAAAGACAGACAAAGUCUCGCAUAAAUACAGAGAGAGACAGGUAGGGAGAGAUACAGAGAGACAGGUAGGGAGAGAGACAGAGAGACUGGUAGGGAGAGAGACAGAGAGACUGGUAGGGAGAGAGACAGAGAGACUGGUAGAGAGAGACAGGUAAAGAGAGAUACAGAGAGAGAGUUAGAGAGAGAGAUCCAGAGAGACAGGUAGAGAGAGAGAUGUAGAGAGAGAUACAGAGAGACAGGUAGAGAGAGAGACAGGUAGAGAGAGAGAGAUACAGAGAGACAGGUAGAGAGAGAGGCAGAGAGACAGGUAGAGAGAGAGAUACAGAGAGAGAGAGAGAUAGAGAGAGACGGGUAGAGAGAGAGACAGGUAAAGAGAGAUACAGAGAGAGAGGUAGAGAGACAGGUGGAGAGAGAUACAGAGAGACAGGUAGAGAGAGAGAGAUACAGAGAGAC
Molecule: long non-coding RNA, 596 nt
Organism: Ictalurus punctatus (channel catfish)
Lineage: Eukaryota; Metazoa; Chordata; Actinopteri; Siluriformes; Ictaluridae
Source: Ensembl